This 428-nucleotide ribosomal RNA is filed under the name uncultured bacterium. RNAcentral describes it as "partial 16S ribosomal RNA". It matches the Rfam family "Bacterial small subunit ribosomal RNA", at positions 354 to 796 of the family's 1533-position model. The record is from RNAcentral.
GUGGGGAAUAUUGGGCAAUGGGCGCAAGCCUGACCCAGCAACGCCGCGUGAAGGAAGAAGGCUUUCGGGUUGUAAACUUCUUUUGUCAGGGACGAAAAAAAUGACGGUACCUGACGAAUAAGCCACGGCUAACUACGUGCCAGCAGCCGCGGUAAUACGUAGGUGGCAAGCGUUAUCCGGAUUUACUGGGUGUAAAGGGCGUGUAGGCGGGAAAGCAAGUCAGAUGUGAAAACUAUGGGCUCAACCCAUAGCCUGCAUUUGAAACUGUUUUUCUUGAGUACUGGAGAGGCAGAUGGAAUUCCUAGUGUAGCGGUGAAAUGCGUAGAUAUUAGGAGGAACACCAGUGGCGAAGGCGAUCUGCUGGACAGCAACUGACGCUGAGGCGCGAAAGCGUGGGGAGCAAACAGGAUUAGAAACCCGGGUAGUCC